ACUGAGCAACCUGAGGUGAUUGCAACAAAUCCACCAAUAACUCCAUUGCACACAUCCAUUGCAUCCCAGUGUCCCACCAACAACCUUCGACCGAACAAGGUAACAAUCCCUGCUGUGGAACCAGCCAGGGUCGUUGUGACCGCGGUCCUGCCCACGGAGGUCCAGUUACCUUGAUCGACCAUAUGCGGGUAAGGUACAAGAAUCUUGUCGAACGAUCCAGGAUUAAACCCAAACCAUCCAAACCACAACAAAAACGUUCCAAGCACCACUAGUGUAGCAUUGUGGCCUCUCAUUUUCACAGGGUUACCAAAUGCAUCAAAUCUUCCCACUCUUGGACCUUCAAUAAUCG
This 349-nucleotide long non-coding RNA is filed under the name Capsicum annuum. Its description in RNAcentral is "long non-coding RNA (CANN_LNC007035)". Lineage: Eukaryota; Viridiplantae; Streptophyta; Magnoliopsida; Solanales; Solanaceae. The record is from RNAcentral.